RNAcentral lists this long non-coding RNA (670 nucleotides) under Piliocolobus tephrosceles (Ugandan red Colobus). Its description in RNAcentral is "lncRNA (ENSPTEG00000000966.1)". The record is from RNAcentral. Lineage: Eukaryota; Metazoa; Chordata; Mammalia; Primates; Cercopithecidae.
GGACCAGGUCAGGACUCCCGCACCAAUUGGUAGUGGGACUGUUCCUGAGCAAUAUAGCAAGAUCUUGGUUCUUAAAAGUAAUAAUACAGAACAGCUUAUUUCCCUCUGGGAAUGGGCUGGCUCAGGGCUACACAGUGAGGGUGGGGGCAGAGGUGGGCCCCCAGUACUUCCCUUGUUGGGUUGUCUGAGGACCCCUCUGGCCUAGAGGAGACGGAGGAGGACAUCUGGACAGUGAGGAGGAGGAGACACCUUGGCCCAUGGUGAACAUCCCAGAGGACCGGGAGAGCCUGGAGGCCAGGUGAGCCUGACUUUCCCUGUCCCUACUUUGUCACCUUCCUCGGUGGUCCCUCCCAGAUCCCCUUAUGUUCUUGGUUUCCCUGCCUUCUGAUUUCUGUGGACUUUCACUCCUUCUGGGAGCCAGUGGUCAGACACCUUUUCACCUGUGACCAACAGGUGCACACUCUGAGCCCCAAGGGAAGGGGCUGCGCUCCACCUCCCUGCCCCGGUUGUUCUCUGUGUGUCCCUACAAAAAUACUCACCUGUUGUCUUCAGGUGGCAUUUUUCAGUGACGCUGGAGCCAGUGCCCAGGAAGAGCAAAGGGUGUGCUGCCAGCCCCUGGCUCACCCAGUGGCUUCAUCCCAGAGGACCCCAGGGACUGGGGAGUGACUUU